Molecule: ribosomal RNA, 314 nt
Filed under: uncultured bacterium
Lineage: Bacteria
Description: partial 16S ribosomal RNA
Rfam family: Bacterial small subunit ribosomal RNA
Source: RNAcentral
UUAUAAGAGACAGCAGCCGCCGCGGUAACACGGAGGGUGCAAGCGUUAAUCGGAAUUACUGGGCGUAAAGCGCACGCAGGCGGUCUGACAAGUCAGAUGUGAAAUCCCCGGGCUUAACCUGGGAACUGCAUUUGAAACUGUCAGGCUGGAGUCUUGUAGAGGGGGGUGGAAUUCCAGGUGUAGCGGUGAAAUGCGUAGAGAUCUGGAGGAAUACCGGUGGCGAAGGCGGCCCCCUGGACAAAGACUGACGCUCAGGUGCGAAAGCGUGGGGAGCAAACAGGAUUAGAUACCCCAGUAGUCCCUGUCUCUUAUAC